UAAGAUGCUCCUUGUGUGAAACGCUGUGAUCCUAAGGUCGCUGGUUCAACUCCAGCCGGAAGCACCUCCAGCCGGAAGCACCUCCUUGUCAUUGGAAAUACCCCCAAGCCUUGUCUUUAUCUGUCAACUCCUCCAAAAUGUAAAAACACAAACAAGAUAACUCUUUCUUAAAUUUUCAACCAUCAAUUUUUUAUUCACCCAGCCUAAAAGUCCUGAUUAUCAGUUCUGGGUCCCUGGCAAUGACUGUUGGGUACAAACUGCAAAGCUUUGUUCGUCAGGUAGGGCUGGGCUUUUCAUUGACCAUGGGUUGGAAUAGUUCUGUGGGCAUAGUGUGUCUUCGAAGCCACUAUGUUUUCUGCACUUGUGACUAGAGAGCACCUUGAUAGCUCAGUUGGUAGAGCGGUGGACUGUAAGAUGCUCCUUGUGUGAAACGCUGUGAUCCUAAGGUCGCUGGUUCAACUCCAGCCGGAAGCACCUCCUUGUCAUUGGAAAUACCCCCAAGCCUUGUCUUUAUCUGUCAACUCCUCCAAAAUGUAAAAACACAAACAAGAUAACUCUUUCUUAAAUUUUCAACCAUCAAUUUUUUAUUCACCCAGCCUAAAAGUCCUGAUUAUAAGUUCUGGGUACCUGGCAAUGACUGUUGGGUACAAACUGCAAAGCUUUGUUCGUCAGGUAGGGCUGGGCUUUUCAUUGACCAUGGGUUGGAAUAGUUCUGUGGGCAUAGUGUGUCUUCGAAGCCACUAUGUUUUCUGCACUUGUGACUAGAGAGCACCUUGAUAGCUCAGUUGGUAGAGCGGUGGACUGUAAGAUGCUCCUUGUGUGAAACGCUGUGAUCCUAAGGUCGCUGGUUCAACUCCAGCCGGAAGCACCUCCUUGUCAUUGGAAAUACCCCCAAGCCUUGUCUUUAUCUGUCAACUCCUCCAAAAUGUAAAAACACAAACAAGAUAACUCUUUCUUAAAUUUUCAACCAUCAAUUUUUUAUUCACCCAGCCUAAAAGUCCUGAUUAUCAGUUCUGGGUCCCUGGCAAUGACUGUUGGGUACAAACUGCAAAGCUUUGUUCGUCAGGUAGGGCUGGGCUUUUCAUUGACCAUGGGUUGGAAUAGUUCUGUGGGCAUAGUGUGUCUUCGAAGCCACUAUGUUUUCUGCACUUGUGACUAGAGAGCACCUUGAUAGCUCAGUUGGUAGAGCGGUGGACUGUAAGAUGCUCCUUGUGUGAAACGCUGUGAUCCUAAGGUCGCUGGUUCAACUCCAGCCGGAAGCACCUCCUUGUCAUUGGAAAUACCCCCAAGCCUUGUCUUUAUCUGUCAACUCCUCCAAAAUGUAAAAACACAAACAAGAUAACUCUUUCUUAAAUUUUCAACCAUCAAUUUUUUAUUCACCCAGCCUAAAAGUCCUGAUUAUCAGUUCUGGGUCCCUGGCAAUGACUGUUGGGUACAAACUGCAAAGCUUUGUUCGUCAGGUAGGGCUGGGCUUUUCAUUGACCAUGGGUUGGAAUAGUUCUGUGGGCAUAGUGUGUCUUCGAAGCCACUAUGUUUUCUGCACUUGUGACUAGAGAGCACCUUGAUAGCUCAGUUGGUAGAGCGGUGGACUGUAAGAUGCUCCUUGUGUGAAACGCUGUGAUCCUAAGGUCGCUGGUUCAACUCCAGCCGGAAGCACCUCCUUGUCAUUGGAAAUACCCCCAAGCCUUGUCUUUAUCUGUCAACUCCUCCAAAAUGUAAAAACACAAACAAGAUAACUCUUUCUUAAAUUUUCAACCAUCAAUUUUUUAUUCACCCAGCCUAAAAGUCCUGAUUAUCAGUUCUGGGUCCCUGGCAAUGACUGUUGGGUACAAACUGCAAAGCUUUGUUCGUCAGGUAGGGCUGGGCUUUUCAUUGACCAUGGGUUGGAAUAGUUCUGUGGGCAUAGUGUGUCUUCGAAGCCACUAUGUUUUCUGCACUUGUGACUAGAGAGCACCUUGAUAGCUCAGUUGGUAGAGCGGUGGACUGUAAGAUGCUCCUUGUGUGAAACGCUAUGAUCCUAAGGUCGCUGGUUCAACUCCAGCCGGAAGCACCUCCUUGUCAUUGGAAAUACCCCCAAGCCUUUUCUUUAUCUGUCAACUCCUCCAAAAUGUAAAAACACAAACAAGAUAACUCUUUCUUAAAUUUUCAACCAUCAAUUUUUUAUUCACCCAGCCUAAAAGUCCUGAUUAUCAGUUCUGGGUCCCUGGCAAUGACUGUUGGGUACAAACUGCAAAGCUUUGUCCGUCAGGUAGGGCUGGGCUUUUCAUUGACCAUGGGUUGGAAUAGUUCUGUGGGCAUAGUGUGUCUUCGAAGCCACUAUGUUUUCUGCACGUGUGACUAGAGAGCACCUUGAUAGCUCAGUUGGUAGAGCGGUGGACUGUAAGAUGCUCCUUGUGUGAAACGCUGUGAUCCUAAGGUCGCUGGUUCAACUCCAGCCGGAAGCACCUCCUUGUCAUUGGAAAUACCCCCAAGCCUUGUCUUUAUCUGUCAACUCCUCCAAAAUGUAAAAACACAAACAAGAUAACUCUUUCUUAAAUUUUCAACCAUCAAUUUUUUAUUCACCCAGCCUAAAAGUCCUGAUUAUCAGUUCUGGGUCCCUGGCAAUGACUGUUGGGUACAAACUGCAAAGCUUUGUUCGUCAGGUAGGGCUGGGCUUUUCAUUGACCAUGGGUUGGAAUAGUUCUGUGGGCAUAGUGUGUCUUCGAAGCCACUAUGUUUUCUGCACUUGUGACUAGAGAGCACCUUGAUAGCUCAGUUGGUAGAGCGGUGGACUGUAAGAUGCUCCUUGUGUGAAACGCUGUGAUCCUAAGGUCGCUGGUUCAACUCCAGCCGGAAGCACCUCCUUGUCAUUGGAAAUACCCCCAAGCCUUGUCUUUAUCUGUCAACUCCUCCAAAAUGUAAAAACACAAACAAGAUAACUCUUUCUUAAAUUUUCAACCAUCAAUUUUUUAUUCACCCAGCCUAAAAGUCCUGAUUAUCAGUUCUGGGUCCCUGGCAAUGACUGUUGGGUACAAACUGCAAAGCUUUGUUCGUCAGGUAGGGCUGGGCUUUUCAUUGACCAUGGGUUGGAAUAGUUCUGUGGGCAUAGUGUGUCUUCGAAGCCACUAUGUUUUCUGCACUUGUGACUAUAGAGCACCUUGAUAGCUCAGUUGGUAGAGCGGUGGACUGUAAGAUGCUCCUUGUGUGAAACGCUGUGAUCCUAAUGUCGCUGGUUCAACUCCAGCCGGAAGCACCUCCUUGUCAUUGUAAAUACCCCCAAGCCUUGUCUUUAUCUGUCAACUCCUCCAAAAUGUAAAAACACAAACAAGAUAACUCUUUCUUAAAUUUUCAACCAUCAAUUUUUUAUUCACCCAGCCUAAAAGUCCUGAUUAUCAGUUCUGGGUCCCUGGCAAUGACUGAUGGGUACAAACUGCAAAGCUUUGUUCGUCAGGUAGGGCUGGGCUUUUCAUUGACCAUGGGUUGGAAUAGUUCUGUGGGCAUAGUGUGUCUUCGAAGCCACUAUGUUUUCUGCACUUGUGACUAGAGAGCACCUUGAUAGCUCAGUUGGUAGAGCAGUGGACUGUAAGAUGCUCCUUGUGUGAAACGCUGUGAUCCUAAGGUCGCUGGUUCAACUCCAGCCGGAAGCACCUCCUUGUCAUUGGAAAUACCCCCAAGCCUUGUCUUUAUCUGUCAACUCCUCCAAAAUGUAAAAACACAAACAAGAUAACUCUUUCUUAAAUUUUCAACCAUCAAUUUUUUAUUCACCCAGCCUAAAAGUCCUGAUUAUCAGUUCUGGGUCCCUGGCAAUGACUGUUGGGUACAAACUGCAAAGCUUUGUUCGUCAGGUAGGGCUGGGCUUUUCAUUGACCAUGGGUUGGAAUAGUUCUGUGGGCAUAGUGUGUCUUCGAAGCCACUAUGUUUUCUGCACUUGUGACUAGAGAGCACCUUGAUAACUCAGUUGGUAGAGCGGUGGACUGUAAGAUGCUCCUUGUGUGAAACGCUGUGAUCCUAAGGUCGCUGGUUCAACUCCAGCCGAAGUACCUCCUCGUCAUUGGAAAUACCCCAAAGCCUUGUCUUUAUCUGUCAACUCCUCCAAAAUGUAAAAACACAAACAAGAUAACUCUUUCUUAAAUUUUCAACCAUCAAUUUUUUAUUCACCCAGCCUAAAAGUCCUGAUGAUCAGUUCUGGGUCCCUGGCAAUGACUGUUGGGUACAAACUGCAAAGCUUUGUUCUGCAGGUAGGGCUGGGCUUUUCAUUGACCAUGGGUUGGAAUAGUUCUGUGGGCAUAGUGUGUCUUCGAAGCCACUAUGUUUUCUGCACUUGUGACUAGAGAGCACCUUGAUAGCUCAGUUGGUAGAGCGGUGGACUGUAAGAUGCUCCUUGUGUGAAACGCUGUGAUCCUAAGGUCGCUGGUUCAACUCCAGCCGGAAGCACCUCCUUGUCAUUGGAAAUACCCCCAAGCCAUGUCUUUAUCUGUCAACUCCUCCAAAAUGUAAAAACACACCAAAAAAAAAUCUUUCUUAAAUUUUCAACCAUCAAUUUUUUAUUCACCCAGCCUAAAAGUCCUGAUUAUCAGUUCUGGGUCCCUGGCAAUGACUGUUGGGUACAAACUGCAAAGCUUUGUUCGUCAGGUAGGGCUGGGCUUUUCAUUGACCAUGGGUUGGAAUAGUUCUGUGGGCAUAGUGUGUCUUCGAAGCCACUAUGUUUUCUGCACUUGUGACUAGAGAGCACCUUGAUAGCUCAGUUGGUAGAGCGGUGGACUGUAAGAUGCUCCUUGUGUGAAACGCUGUGAUCCUAAGGUCGCUGGUUCAACUCCAGCCGGAAGCACCUCCUUGUCAUUGGAAAUACCCCCAAGCCUUGUCUUUAUCUGUCAACUCCUCCAAAAUGUAAAAACACAAACAAGAUAACUCUUUCUUAAAUUUUCAACCAUCAAUUUUUUAUUCACCCAGCCUAAAAGUCCUGAUUAUCAGUUCUGGGUCCCUGGCAAUGACUGAUGGGUACAAACUGCAAAGCUUUGUUCGUCAGGUAGGGCUGGGCUUUUCAUUGACCAUGGGUUGGAAUAGUUCUGUGGGCAAAGUGUGUCUUCGAAGCCACUAUGUUUUCUGCACUUGUGACUAGAGAGCACCUUGAUAGCUCAGUUGGUAGAGCAGUGGACUGUAAGAUGCUCCUUGUGUGAAACGCUGUGAUCCUAAGGUCGCUGGUUCAACUCCAGCCGGAAGCACCUCCUUGUCAUUGGAAAUACCCCCAAGCCUUGUCUUUAUCUGUCAACUCCUCCAAAAUGUAAAAACACAAACAAGAUAACUCUUUCUUAAAUUUUCAACCAUCAAUUUUUUAUUCACCCAGCCUUAAAGUCCUGAUUAUCAGUUCUGGGUCCCUGGCAAUGACUGUUGGGUACAAACUGCAAAGCUUUGUUCGUCAGGUAGGGCUGGGCUUUUCAUUGACCAUGGGUUGGAAUAGUUCUGUGGGCAUAGUGUGUCUUCGAAGCCACUAUGUUUUCUGCACUUGUGACUAGAGAGCACCUUGAUAGCUCAGUUGGUAGAGCGGUGGACUGUAAGAUGCUCCUUGUGUGAAACGCUGUGAUCCUAAGGUCGCUGGUUCAACUCCAGCCGAAGUACCUCCUCGUCAUUGGAAAUACCCCAAAGCCUUGUCUUUAUCUGUCAACUCCUCCAAAAUGUAAAAACACAAACAAGAUAACUCUUUCUUAAAUUUUCAACCAUCAAUUUUUUAUUCACCCAGCCUAAAAGUCCUGAUGAUCAGUUCUGGGUCCCUGGCAAUGACUGUUGGGUACAAACUGCAAAGCUUUGUUCUGCAGGUAGGGCUGGGCUUUUCAUUGACCAUGGGUUGGAAUAGUUCUGUGGGCAUAGUGUGUCUUCGAAGCCACUAUGUUUUCUGCACUUGUGACUAGAGAGCACCUUGAUAGCUCAGUUGGUAGAGCGGUGGACUGUAAGAUGCUCCUUGUGUGAAACGCUGUGAUCCUAAGGUCGCUGGUUCAACUCCAGCCGGAAGCACCUCCUUGUCAUUGGAAAUACCCCCAAGCCUUGUCUUUAUCUGUCAACUCCUCCAAAAUGUAAAAACACACACAAAAAAAAUCUUUCUUAAAUUUUCAACCAUCAAUUUUUUAUUCACCCAGCCUAAAAGUCCUGAUUAUCAGUUCUGGGUCCCUGGCAAUGACUGUAGGGUACACACUGCAAAGCUUUGUUCGUCAGGUAGGGCUGGGCUUUUCAUUGACCAUGGGUUGGAAUAGUUCUGUGGGCAUAGUGUGUCUUCGAAGCCACUAUGUUUUCUGCACUUGUGACUAGAGAGCACCUUGAUAGCUCAGUUGGUAGAGCGGUGGACUGUAAGAUGCUCCUUGUGUGAAACGCUGUGAUCCUAAGGUCGCUGGUUCAACUCCAGCCGGAAGCACCUCCUUGUCAUUGGAAAUACCCCCAAGCCUUGUCUUUAUCUGUCAACUCCUCCAAAAUGUAAAAACACACAAAAAAAAAAUCUUUCUUAAAUUUUCAACCAUCAAUUUUUUAUUCACCCAGCCUAAAAGUCCUGAUUAUCAGUUCUGGGUCCCUGGCAAUGACUGUUGGGUACACACUGCAAAGCUUUGUUCGUCAGGUAGGGCUGGGCUUUUCAUUGACCAUGGGUUGGAAUAGUUCUGUGGGCAUAGUGUGUCUUCGAAGCCACUAUGUUUUCUGCACUUGUGACUAGAGAGCAACUUGAUAGCUCAGUUGGUAGAGCGGUGGACUGUAAGAUGCUCCUUGUGUGAAACGCUGUGAUCCUAAGGUCGCUGGUUAAACUCCGGCUGGAAGCACCUCCUUGUCAUUGGAAAUACCCCCAGGCCUUGUCUUUAUCUGUCAACUCCUCCAAAAUGUAAAAACACAAACAAGAUAACUCUUUCUUAAAUUUUCAACCAUCAAUUUUUUAUUCACCCAGCCUAAAAGUCCUGAUUAUCAGUUCUGGGUCCCUGGCAAUGACUGUUGGGUACAAACUGCAAAGCUUUGUUCGUCAGGUAGGGCUGGGCUUUUCAUUGACCAUGGGUUGGAAUAGUUCUGUGGGCAUAGUGUGUCUUCGAAGCCACUAUGUUUUCUGCACUUGUGACUAGAGAGCACCUUGAUAGCUCAGUUGGUAGAGCGGUGGACUGUAAGAUGCUCCUUGUGUGAAACGCUGUGAUCCUAAGGUCGCUGGUUCAACUCCAGCCGGAAGCACCUCCUUGUCAUUGGAAAUACCCCCAAGCCUUGUCUUUAUCUGUCAACUCCUCCAAAAUGUAAAAACACAAACAAGAUAACUCUUUCUUAAAUUUUCAACCAUCAAUUUUUUAUUCACCCAGCCUAAAAGUCCUGAUUAUCAGUUCUGGGUCCCUGGCAAUGACUGUUGGGUACAAACUGCAAAGCUUUGUUCGUCAGGUAGGGCUGGGCUUUUCAUUGACCAUGGGUUGGAAUAGUUCUGUGGGCAUAGUGUGUCUUCGAAGCCACUAUGUUUUCUGCACUUGUGACUAGAGAGCACCUUGAUAGCUCAGUUGGUAGAGCGGUGGACUGUAAGAUGCUCCUUCUGUGAACACCGUGAUCCUAAGGUCGCUGGUUCAACUCCAGCCGGAAGCACCUCCUUGUCAUUGGAAAUACCCCAAAGCCUUGUCUUUAUUUGUCAACUCCUCCAAAAUGUAAAAACACAAACAAGGUAACUCUUUCUUAAAUUUUCAACCAUCAAUUUUUUAUUCACCCAGCCUAAAAGUCCUGAUUAUCAGUUCUGGGUCCCUGGCAAUGACUGUUGGGUACAAACUGCAAAGCUUUGUUCGUCAGGUAGGGCUGGGCUUUUCAUUGACCAUGGGUUGGAAUAGUUCUGUGGGCAUAGUGUGUCUUCGAAGCCACUAUGUUUUCUGCACUUGCGACUAGAGAGCACCUUGAUAGCUCAGUUGGUAGAGCAGUGGACUCUCAGAUGCUCCUUGUGUGAAACGCUGUGAUCCUAAGGUCGCUGGUUCAACUCCAGCCGGAAGCACCUCCUUGUCAUUGGAAAUACCCCCAAGCCUUGUCUUUAUCUGUCAACUCCUCCAAAAUGUAAAAACACAAACAAGUUAACUCUUUCUUAAAUUUUCAACCAUCAAUUUUUUAUUCACCCAGCCUAAAAGUCCUGAUUAUCAGUUCUGGGUCCCUGGCAAUGACUGUUGGGUACAAACUGCAAAGCUUUGUUCGUCAGGUAGGGCUGGGCUUUUCAUUGACCAUGGGUUGGAAUAGUUCUGUGGGCAUAGUGUGUCUUCGAAGCCACUAUGUUUUCUGCACUUGUGACUAGAGAGCACCUUGAUAGCUCAGUUGGUAGAGCGGUGGACUGUAAGAUGCUCCUUCUGUGAACACCGUGAUCCUAAGGUCGCUGGUUCAACUCCAGCCGGAAGCACCUCCUCGUCAUUGGAAAUACCCCAAAGCCUUGUCUUUAUCUGUCAACUCCUCCAAAAUGUAAAAACACAAACAAGAUAACUCUUUCUUAAAUUUUCAACCAUCAAUUUUUUAUUCACCCAGCCUAAAAGUCCUGAUGAUCAGUUCUGGGUCCCCGGCAAUGACUGUUGGGUACAAACUGCAAAGCUUUGUUCUGCAGGUAGGGCUGGGCUUUUCAUUGACCAUGGGUUGGAAUAGUUCUGUGGGCAUAGUGUGUCUUCGAAGCCACUAUGUUUUCUGCACUUGUGACUAGAGAGCACCUUGAUAGCUCAGUUGGUAGAGCGGUGGACUGUAAGAUGCUCCUUGUGUGAAACGCUGUGAUCCUAAGGUCGCUGGUUCAACUCCAGCCGGAAGCACCUCCUUGUCAUUGGAAAUACCCCCAAGCCUUGUCUUUAUCUGUCAACUCCUCCAAAAUGCAAAAACACAAACAAGAUAACUCUUUCUUAAAUUUUCAACCAUCAAUUUUUUAUUCACCCAGCCUAAAAGUCCUGAUUAUCAGUUCUGGGUCCCUGGCAAUGACUGUUGGGUACAAACUGCAAAGCUUUGUUCUGCAGGUAGGGCUGGGCUUUUCAUUGACCAUGGGUUGGAAUAGUUCUGUGGGCAUAGUGUGUCUUCGAAGCCACUAUGUUUUCUGCACUUGUGACUAGAGAGCCCCUUGAUAGCUCAGUUGGUAGAGCGGUGGACUGUAAGAUGCUCCUUGUGUGAAACGCUGUGAUCCUAAGGUCGCUGGUUCAACUCCAGCCGGAAGCACCUCCUUGUCAUUGGAAAUACCCCCAAGCCUUGUCUUUAUCUGUCAACUCCUCCAAAAUGUAAAAACACAAACAAGAUAACUCUUUCUUAAAUUUUCAACCAUCAAUUUUUUAUUCACCCAGCCUAAAAGUCCUGAUUAUCAGUUCUGGGUCCCUGGCAAUGACUGUUGGGUACAAACUGCAAAGCUUUGUUCGUCAGGUAGGGCUGGGCUUUUCAUUGACCAUGGGUUGGAAUAGUUCUGUGGGCAUAGUGUGUCUUCGAAGCCACUAUGUUUUCUGCACUUGUGACUAGAGAGCACCUUGAUAGCUCAGUUGGUAGAGCGGUGGACUGUAAGAUGCUCCUUGUGUGAAACGCUGUGAUCCUAAGGUCGCUGGUUGAACUCCAGCCAGAAGCACCUCCUCGUCAUUGGAAAUACCCCAAAGCCUUGUCUUUAUCUUUCAACUCCUCCAAAAUGUAAAAACACAAACAAGAUAACUCUUUCUUAAAUUUUCAACCAUCAAUUUUUUAUUCACCCAGCCUAAAAGUCCUGGUGAUCAGUUCUGGGUCCCUGGCAAUGACUGUUGGGUACAAACUGCAAAGCUUUGUUCGUCAGGUAGGGCUGGGCUUUUCAUUGACCAUGGGUUGGAAUAGUUCUGUGGGCAUAGUGUGUCUUCGAAGCCACUAUGUUUUCUGCACUUGUGACUAGAGAGCACCUUGAUAGCUCAGUUGGUAGAGCGGUGGACUGUAAGAUGCUCCUUGUGUGAAACGCUGUGAUCCUAAGGUCGCUGGUUCAACUCCAGCCGGAAGCACCUCCUUGUCAUUGGAAAUACCCCCAAGCCUUGUCUUUAUCUGUCAACUCCUCCAAAAUGUAAAAACACAAAAAAGAUAACUCUUUCUUAAAUUUUCAACCAUCAAUUUUUUAUUCACCCAGCCUAAAAGUCCUGAUUAUCAGUUCUGGGUCCCUGGCAAUGACUGUUGGGUACAAACUGCAAAGCUUUGUUCGUCAGGUAGGGCUGGGCUUUUCAUUGACCAUGGGUUGGAAUAGUUCUGUGGGCAUAGUGUGUCUUCGAAGCCACUAUGUUUUCUGCACUUGUGACUAGAGAGCACCUUGAUAGCUCAGUUGGUAGAGCGGUGGACUGUAAGAUGCUCCUUGUAUGAAACGCUGUGAUCCUAAGGUCGCUGGUUCAACUCCAGCCGGAAGCACCUCCUUGUCAUUGGAAAUACCCCCAAGCCUUGUCUUUAUCUGUCAACUCCUCCAAAAUGUAAAAACACACAAAAAAAAAACUCUUUCUUAAAUUUUCAACCAUCAAUUUUUUAUUCACCCAGCCUAAAAGUCCUAGUGAUCAGUUCUGGGUCCCUGGCAAUGACUGUUGGGUACAAACUGCAAAGCUUUGUUCGUCAGGUAGGGCUGGGCUUUUCAUUGACCAUGGGUUGGAAUAGUUCUGUGGGCAUAGUGUGUCUUCGAAUCCACUAUGUUUUCUGCACUUGUGACCAGAGAGCACCUUGAUAGCUCAGUUGGUAGAGCGGUGGACUGUAAGAUGCUCCUUGUGUGAAACGCUGUGAUCCUAAGGUCGCUGGUUCAACUCCAGCCGGCAGCACCUCCUUGUCAUUGGAAAUACCCCCAGGCCUUGUCUUUAUCUGUCAACUCCUCCAAAAUGUAAAAACACAAAAAAAAAAUCUUUCUUAAAUUUUCAACCAUCAAUUUUUUAUUCACCCACCCUUAAAGUCCUGAUGAUCAGUUCUGGGUCCCUGGCAAUGACUGUUGGGUACAAACUGCAAAGCUUUGUUCGUCAGGUAGGGCUGGGCUUUUCAUUGACCAUGGGUUGGAAUAGUUCUGUGGGCAUAGUGUGUCUUCGAAGCCACUAUGUUUUCUGCACUUGUGACUAGAGAGCACCUUGAUAGCUCAGUUGGUAGAGCGGUGGACUGUAAGAUGCUCCUUGUGUGAAACGCUGUGAUCCUAAGGUCGCUGGUUCAACUCCAGCCGGAAGCACCUCCUUGUCAUUGGAAAUACCCCCAAGCCUUGUCUUUAUCUGUCAACUCCUCCAAAAUGUAAAAACACACAAAAAAAAAAAUCUUUCUUAAAUUUUCAACCACCAAUUUUUUAUUCACCCAGCCUAAAAGUCCUGAUUAUUAGUUCUGGGUCCCUGGCAAUGACUGUUGGGUACACACUGCAAAGCUUUGUUCGUCAGGUAGGGCUGGGCUUUUCAUUGACCAUGGGUUGGAAUAGUUCUGUGGGCAUAGUGUGUCUUCGAAGCCACUAUGUUUUCUGCACUUGUGACUAGAGAGCAACUUGAUAGCUCAGUUGGUAGAGCGGUGGACUGUAAGAUGCUCCUUGUUUGAAACGCUGUGAUCCUAAGGUCGCUGGUUAAACUCCGGCUGGAAGCACCUCCUUGUCAUUGGAAAUACCCCCAACCCUUGUCUUUAUCUGUCAACUCCUCCAAAAUGUAAAAACACAAACAAGAUAACUCUUUCUUAAAUUUUCAACCAUCAAUUUUUUAUUCACCCAGCCUAAAAGUCCUGAUUAUCAGUUCUGGGUCCCUGGCAAUGACUGUUGGGUACAAACUGCAAAGCUUUGUUCGUCAGGUAGGGCUGGGCUUUUCAUUGACCAUGGGUUGGAAUAGUUCUGUGGGCAUAGUGUGUCUUCGAAGCCACUAUGUUUUCUGCACUUGUGACUAGAGAGCACCUUGAUAGCUCAGUUGGUAGAGCGGUGGACUGUAAGAUGCUCCUUGUGUGAAACGCUGUGAUCCUAAGGUCGCUGGUUCAACUCCAGCCGGAAGCACCUCCUUGUCAUUGGAAAUACCCGCAAGCCUUGUCUCUAUCUGUCAACUCCUCCAAAAUGCAAAAACACAAACAAGAUAACUCUUUCUUAAAUUUUCAACCAUCAAUUUUUUAUUCACCCAGCCUAAAAGUCCUGAUUAUCAGUUCUGGGUCCCUGGCAAUGGCUGUUGGGUACAAACUGCAAAGCUUUGUUCUGCAGGUAGGGCUGGGCUUUUCAUUGACCAUGGGUUGGAAUAGUUCUGUGGGCAUAGUGUGUCUUCAAAGCCACUAUGUUUUCUGCACUUGUGACUAGAGAGCACCUUGAUAGCUCAGUUGGUAGAGCGGUGGACUGUAAGAUGCUCCUUCUGUGAACACCUUGAUCCUAAGGUCGCUGGUUCAACUCCAGCCGGAAGCACCUCCUUGUCAUUGGAAAUACCCCCAAGCCUUGUCUUUAUUUGUCAACUCCUCCAAAAUGUAAAAACACAAACAAGGUAACUCUUUCUUAAAUUUUCAACCAUCAAUUUUUUAUUCACCCAGCCUAAAAGUCCUGAUUAUCAGUUCUGGGUCCCUGGCAAUGACUGUUGGGUACAAACUGCAAAGCUUUGUUCGUCAGGUAGGGCUGGGCUUUUCAUUGACCAUGGGUUGGAAUAGUUCUGUGGGCAUAGUGUGUCUUCGAAGCCACUAUGUUUUCUGCACUUGUGACUAGAGAGCACCUUGAUAGCUCAGUUUGUAGAGCAGUGGACUCUAAGAUGCUCCUUGUGUGAAACGCUGUGAUCCUAACGUCGCUGGUUCAACUCCAGCCGGAAGCACCUCCUUGUCAUUGGAAAUACCCCCAAGCCUUGUCUUUAUCUGUCAACUCCUCCAAAAUGUAAAAACACAAACAAGAUAACUCUUUCUUAAAUUUUCAACCAUCAAUUUUUUAUUCACCCAGCCUAAAAGUCCUGAUUAUCAGUUCUGAGUCCCUGGCAAUGACUGUUGGGUACAAACUGCAAAGCUUUGUUCGUCAGGUAGGGCUGGGCUUUUCAUUGACCAUGGGUUGGAAUAGUUCUGUGGGCAUAGUGUGUCUUAGAAGCCACUAUGUUUUCUGCACUUGUGACUAGAGAGCACCUUGAUAGCUCAGUUGGUAGAGCAGUGGACUGUAAGAUGCUGCUUGUGUGAAACGCUGUGAUCCUAAGGUCGCUGGUUCAACUCCAGCCGGAAGCACCUCCUUGUCAUUGGAAAUACCCCCAAGCCUUGUCUUUAUCUGUCAACUCCUCCAAAAUGUAAAAACACAAACAAGUUAACUCUUUCUUAAAUUUUCAACCAUCAAUUUUUUAUUCACCCAGCCUAAAAGUCCUGAUUAUCAGUUCUGGGUCCCUGGCAAUGACUGUUGGGUACAAACUGCAAAGCUUUGUUCGUCAGGUAGGGCUGGGCUUUUCAUUGACCAUGGGUUGGAAUAGUUCUGUGGGCAUAGUGUGUCUUCGAAGCCACUAUGUUUUCUGCACUUGUGACUAGAGAGCACCUUGAUAGCUCAGUUGGUAGAGCGGUGGACUGUAAGAUGCUCCUUGUGUGAAACGCUGUGAUCCUAAGUUCGCUGGUUCAACUCCAGCCAGAAGAACCUCCUUGUCAUUGGAAAUACCCCCAAGCCUUGUCUUUAUCUGUCAACUCCUCCAAAAUGUAAAAACACACACACAAAAAAAAUCUUUAUUAAAUUAUCAACCAUCAAUUUUUUAUUCACCCAGCCUAAAAGUCCUGAUUAUCAGUUCUGGGUCCCUGGCAAUGACUGUUGGGUACAAACUGCAAAGCUUUGUUCGUCAGGUAGGGCUGGGCUUUUCAUUGACCAUGGGUUGGAAUAGUUCUGUGGGCAUAGUGUGUCUUCGAAGCCACUAUGUUUUCUGCACUUGUGACUAGAGAGCACCUUGAUAGCUCAGUUGGUAGAGCGGUGGACUGUAAGAUGCUUCUUGUGUGAAACGCUGUGAUCCUAAGGUCGCUGGUUCAACUCCAGCCGUUAGCACCUCCUUGUCAUUCGAAAAACCCGCAAGCCUUGUCUUUAUCUGUCAACUCCUCCAAAAUGUAAAAACACAAACAAGAUAACUCUUUCUUAAAUUUUCAACCAUCAAUUUUUUAUUCACCCAGCCUAAAAGUCCUGAUUAUCAGUUCUGGGUCCCUGGCAAUGACUGUUGGGUACAAACUGCAAAGCUUUGUUCGUCAGGUAGGGCUGGGCUUUUCAUUGACCAUGGGUUGGAAUAGUUCUGUGGGCAUAGUGUGUCUUCGAAGCCACUAUGUUUUCUGCACUUGUGACUAGAGAGCCCCUUGAUAGCUCAGUUGGUACAGCCGUGGACUGUAAAAUGCUCCUUGUGUGAAACGCUGUGAUCCUAAGGUCGCUGGUUCAACUCCAGCCGGAAGCACCUCCUUGUCAUUGGAAAUACCCGCAAGCCUUGUCUUUAUCUGUCAACUCCUCCAAAAUGUAAAAACACAAACAAGAUAACUCUUUCUUAAAUUUUCAACCAUCAAUUUUUUAUUCACCCAGCCUAAAAGUCCUGAUUAUCAGUUCUGGGUCCCUGGCAAUGACUGUUGGGUACAAACUGCAAAGCUUUGUUCGUCAGGUAGGGCUGGGCUUUUCAUUGACCAUGGGUUGGAAUAGUUCUGUGGGCAUAGUGUGUCUUCGAAGCCACUAUGUUUUCUGCACUUGUGACUAGCGAGCACCUUGAUAGCUCAGUUGCAUAGAGCGGUGGACUGUAAGAUGCUCCUUGUGUGAAACGCUGUGAUCCUAAGGUCGCUGGUUCAACUCCAGCCGGAAGCACCUCCUUGUCAUUGGAAAUACCCGCAAGCCUUGUCUUUAUCUGUCAACUCCUCCAAAAUGUAAAAACACAAACAAGAUAACUCUUUCUUAAAUUUUCAACCAUCAAUUUUUUAUUCACCCAGCCUAAAAGUCCUGAUGAUCAGUUCUGGGUCCCUGGCAAUGACUGUUGGGUACAAACUGCAAAGCUUUGUUCGUCAGGUAGGGCUGGGCUUUUCAUUGACCAUGGGUUGGAAUAGUUCUGUGGGCAUAGUGUGUCUUCGAAGCCACUAUGUUUUCUGCACUUGUGACUAGAGAGCACCUUGAUAGCUCAGUUGGUAGAGCGGUGGACUGUAAGAUGCUCCUUGUGUGAAACGCUGUGAUCCUAAGGUCGCUGGUUCAACUCCAGCCGGAAGCACCUCCUUGUCAUUGGAAAUACCCGCAAGCCUUGUCUUUAUCUGUCAACUCCUCCAAAAUGUAAAAACACAAACAAGAUAACUCUUUCUUAAAUUUUCAACCAUCAAUUUUUUAUUCACCCAGCCUAAAAGUCCUGAUUAUCAGUUCUGGGUCCCUGGCAAUGACUGUUGGGUACAAACUGCAAAGCUUUGUUCGUCAGGUAGGGCUGGGCUUUUCAUUGACCAUGGGUUGGAAUAGUUCUGUGGGCAUAGUGUGUCUUCGAAGCCACUAUGUUUUCUGCACUUGUGACUAGCGAGCACCUUGAUAGCUCAGUUGCAUAGAGCGGUGGACUGUAAGAUGCUCCUUGUGUGAAACGCUGUGAUCCUAAGGUCGCUGGUUCAACUCCAGCCGGAAGCACCUCCUUGUCAUUGGAAAUACCCGCAAGCCUUGUCUUUAUCUGUCAACUCCUCCAAAAUGUAAAAACACAAACAAGAUAACUCUUUCUUAAAUUUUCAACCAUCAAUUUUUUAUUCACCCAGCCUAAAAGUCCUGAUUAUCAGUUCUGGGUCCCUGGCAAUGACUGUUGGGUACAAACUGCAAAGCUUUGUUCGUCAGGUAGGGCUGGGCUUUUCAUUGACCAUGGGUUGGAAUAGUUCUGUGGGCAUAGUGUGUCUUCGAAGCCACUAUGUUUUCUGCACUUGUGACUAGAGAGCACCUUGAUAGCUCAGUUGGUAGAGCGGUGGACUGUAAGAUGCUCCUUGUGUGAAACGCUGUGAUCCUAAGGUCGCUGGUUCAACUCCAGCCGGAAGCACCUCCUUGUCAUUGGAAAUACCCCCAAGCCUUGUCUUUAUCUGUCAACUCCUCCAAAAUGUAAAAACACAAACAAGAUAACUCUUUCUUAAAUUUUCAACCAUCAAUUUUUUAUUCACCCAGCCUAAAAGUCCUGAUUAUCAGUUCUGGGUCCCUGGCAAUGACUGUUGGGUACAAACUGCAAAGCUUUGUUCGUCAGGUAGGGCUGGGCUUUUCAUUGACCAUGGGUUGGAAUAGUUCUGUGGGCAUAGUGUGUCUUCGAAGCCACUAUGUUUUCUGCACUUGUGACUAGAGAGCCCCUUGAUAGCUCAGUUGGUACAGCCGUGGACUGUAAAAUGCUCCUUGUGUGAAACGCUGUGAUCCUAAGGUCGCUGGUUCAACUCCAGCCGGAAGCACCUCCUUGUCAUUGGAAAUACCCGAAAGCCGUGUCUUUAUCUGUCAACUCCUCCAAAAUGUAAAAACACAAACAAGAUAACUCUUUCUUAAAUUUUCAACCAUCAAUUUUUUAUUCACCCAGCCUAAAAGUCCUGAUUAUCAGUUCUGGGUCCCUGGCAAUGACUGUUGGGUACAAACUGCAAAGCUUUGUUCGUCAGGUAGGGCUGGGCUUUUCAUUGACCAUGGGUUGGAAUAGUUCUGUGGGCAUAGUGUGUCUUCGAAGCCACUAUGUUUUCUGCACUUGUGACUAGCGAGCACCUUGAUAGCUCAGUUGCAUAGAGCGGUGGACUGUAAGAUGCUCCUUGUGUGAAACGCUGUGAUCCUAAGGUCGCUGGUUCAACUCCAGCCGGAAGCACCUCCUUGUCAUUGGAAAUACCCGCAAGCCUUGUCUUUAUCUGUCAACUCCUCCAAAAUGUAAAAACACAAACAAGAUAACUCUUUCUUAAAUUUUCAACCAUCAAUUUUUUAUUCACCCAGCCUAAAAGUCCUGAUUAUCAGUUCUGGGUCCCUGGCAAUGACUGUUGGGUACAAACUGCAAAGCUUUGUUCGUCAGGUAGGGCUGGGCUUUUCAUUGACCAUGGGUUGGAAUAGUUCUGUGGGCAUAGUGUGUCUUCGAAGCCACUAUGUUUUCUGCACUUGUGACUAGCGAGCACCUUGAUAGCUCAGUUGCAUAGAGCGGUGGACUGUAAGAUGCUCCUUGUGUGAAACGCUGUGAUCCUAAGGUCGCUGGUUCAACUCCAGCCGGAAGCACCUCCUUGUCAUUGGAAAUACCCGCAAGCCUUGUCUUUAUCUGUCAACUCCUCCAAAAUGUAAAAACACAAACAAGAUAACUCUUUCUUAAAUUUUCAACCAUCAAUUUUUUAUUCACCCAGCCUAAAAGUCCUGAUUAUCAGUUCUGGGUCCCUGGCAAUGACUGUUGGGUACAAACUGCAAAGCUUUGUUCGUCAGGUAGGGCUGGGCUUUUCAUUGACCAUGGGUUGGAAUAGUUCUGUGGGCAUAGUGUGUCUUCGAAGCCACUAUGUUUUCUGCACUUGUGACUAGAGAGCACCUUGAUAGCUCAGUUGGUAGAGCGGUGGACUGUAAGAUGCUCCUUGUGUGAAACGCUGUGAUCCUAAGGUCGCUGGUUCAACCCCAGCCGGAAGCACCUCCUUGUCAUUGGAAAUACCCCCAAGCCUUGUCUUUAUCUGUCAACUCCUCCAAAAUGUAAAAACACAAACAAGAUAACUCUUUCUUAAAUUUUCAACCAUCAAUUUUUUAUUCACCCAGCCUAAAAGUCCUGAUUAUCAGUUCUGGGUCCCUGGCAAUGACUGUUGGGUACAAACUGCAAAGCUUUGUUCGUCAGGUAGGGCUGGGCUUUUCAUUGACCAUGGGUUGGAAUAGUUCUGUGGGCAUAGUGUGUCUUCGAAGCCACUAUGUUUUCUGCACUUGUGACUAGCGAGCACCUUGAUAGCUCAGUUGCAUAGAGCGGUGGACUGUAAGAUGCUCCUUGUGUGAAACGCUGUGAUCCUAAGGUCGCUGGUUCAACUCCAGCCGGAAGCACCUCCUUGUCAUUGGAAAUACCCGCAAGCCUUGUCUUUAUCUGUCAACUCCUCCAAAAUGUAAAAACACAAACAAGAUAACUCUUUCUUAAAUUUUCAACCAUCAAUUUUUUAUUCACCCAGCCUAAAAGUCCUGAUUAUCAGUUCUGGGUCCCUGGCAAUGACUGUUGGGUACAAACUGCAAAGCUUUGUUCGUCAGGUAGGGCUGGGCUUUUCAUUGACCAUGGGUUGGAAUAGUUCUGUGGGCAUAGUGUGUCUUCGAAGCCACUAUGUUUUCUGCACUUGUGACUAGAGAGCACCUUGAUAGCUCAGUUGGUAGAGCGGUGGACUGUAAGAUGCUCCUUGUGUGAAACGCUGUGAUCCUAAGGUCGCUGGUUCAACUCCAGCCGGAAGCACCUCCUUGUCAUUGGAAAUACCCCCAAGCCUUGUCUUUAUCUGUCAACUCCUCCAAAAUGUAAAAACACAACCAAGAUAACUCUUUCUUAAAUUUUCAACCAUCAAUUUUUUAUUCACCCAGCCUAAAAGUCCUGAUUAUCAGUUCUGGGUCCCUGGCAAUGACUGUUGGGUACAAACUGCAAAGCUUUGUUCGUCAGGUAGGGCUGGGCUUUUCAUUGACCAUGGGUUGGAAUAGUUCUGUGGGCAUAGUGUGUCUUCGAAGCCACUAUGUUUUCUGCACUUGUGACUAGAGAGCACCUUGAUAGCUCAGUUGGUAGAGCGGUGGACUGUAAGAUGCUCCUUGUGUGAAACGCUGUGAUCCUAAGGUCGCUGGUUCAACUCCAGCCGGAAGCACCUCCUUGUCAUUGGAAAUACCCGCAAGCCUUGUCUUUAUCUGUCAACUCCUCCAAAAUGCAAAAACACAAACAAGAUAACUCUUUCUUAAAUUUUCAACCAUCAAUUUUUUAUUCACCCAGCCUAAAAGUCCUGAUUAUCAGUUCUGGGUCCCUGGCAAUGACUGUUGGGUACAAACUGCAAAGCUUUGUUCUGCAGGUAGGGCUGGGCUUUUCAUUGACCAUGGGUUGGAAUAGUUCUGUGGGCAUAGUGUGUCUUCGAAGCCACUAUGUUUUCUGCACUUGUGACUAGAGAGCCCCUUGAUAGCUCAGUUGGUAGAGCCGUGGACUGUAAAAUGCUCCUUGUGUGAAACGCUGUGAUCCUAAGGUCGCUGGUUCAACUCCAGCCGGAAGCACCUCCUUGUCAUUGGAAAUACCCCCAAGCCUUGUCUUUAUCUGUCAACUCGUCCAAAAUGUAAAAACACAAACAAGAUAACUCUUUCUUAAAUUUUCAACCAUCAAUUUUUUAUUCACCCAGCCUAAAAGUCCUGAUUAUCAGUUCUGGGUCCCUGGCAAUGACUGUUGGGUACAAACUGCAAAGCUUUGUUCGUCAGGUAGGGCUGGGCUUUUCAUUGACCAUGGGUUGGAAUAGUUCUGUGGGCAUAGUGUGUCUUCGAAGCCACUAUGUUUUCUGCACUUGUGACUAGCGAGCACCUUGAUAGCUCAGUUGGAUAGAGCGGUCGACUGUAAGAUGCUCCUUGUGUGAAACGCUGUGAUCCUAAGGUCGCUGGUUCAACUCCAGCCGGAAGCACCUCCUUGUCAUUGGAAAUACCCGCAAGCCUUGUCUUUAUCUGUCAACUCCUCCAAAAUGUAAAAACACAAACAAGAUAACUCUUUCUUAAAUUUUCAACCAUCAAUUUUUUAUUCACCCAGCCUAAAAGUCCUGAUUAUCAGUUCUGGGUCCCUGGCAAUGACUGUUGGGUACAAACUGCAAAGCUUUGUUCGUCAGGUAGGGCUGGGCUUUUCAUUGACCAUGGGUUGGAAUAGUUCUGUGGGCAUAGUGUGUCUUCGAAGCCACUAUGUUUUCUGCACUUGUGAAUAGAGAGCCCCUUGAUAGCUCAGUUGGUAGAGCCGUGGACUGUAAAAUGCUCCUUGUGUGAAACGCUGUGAUCCUAAGGUCGCUGGUGCAACUACAGCCGGAAGCACCUCCUUGUCAUUGGAAAUACCCGCAAGCCUUGUCUUUAUCUGUCAACUCCUCCAAAAUGUUAAAACACAAACAAGAUAACUCUUUCUUAAAUUUUCAACCAUCAAUUUUUUAUUCACCCAGCCUAAAAGUCCUGAUUAUCAGUUCUGGGUCCCUGGCAAUGACUGUUGGGUACAAACUGCAAAGCUUUGUUCGUCAGGUAGGGCUGGGCUUUUCAUUGACCAUGGGUUGGAAUAGUUUUGUGGGCAUAGUGUGUCUUCGAAGCCACUAUGUUUUCUGCACUUGUGACUAGAGAGCACCUUUAUAGCUCAGUUGGUAGAGCGGUGGACUGUAAGAUGCUCCUUGUGUGAAACGCUGUGAUCCUAAGGUCGCUGGUUCAACUCCAGCCGGAAGCACCUCCUUGUCAUUGGAAAUACCCGCAAGCCUUGUCUUUAUCUGUCAACUCGUCCAAAAUGUAAAAACACAAACAAGAUAACUCUUUCUUAAAUUUUCAACCAUCAAUUUUUUAUUCACCCAGCCUAAAAGUCCUGAUUAUCAGUUCUGGGUCCCUGGCAAUGACUGUUGGGUACAAACUGCAAAGCUUUGUUCGUCAGGUAGGGCUGGGCUUUUCAUUGACCAUGGGUUGGAAUAGUUUUGUGGGCAUAGUGUGUCUUCGAAGCCACUAUGUUUUCUGCACUUGUGACUAGAGAGCACCUUGAUAGCUCAGUUGGUAGAGCGGUGGACUGUAAGAUGCUCCUUGUGUGAAACGCUGUGAUCCUAAGGUCGCUGGUUCAACUCCAGCCGGAAGCACCUCCUUGUCAUUGGAAAUACCCCCAAGCCUUGUCUAUAUCUGUCAACUCCUCCAAAAUGUAAAAACACAAACAAGAUAACUCUUUCUUAAAAUUUCAACCAUCAAUUUUUUAUUCACCCAGCCUAAAAGUCCUGAUUAUCAGUUCUGGGUCCCUGGCAAUGACUGUUGGGUACAAACUGCAAAGCUUUGUUCGUCAGGUAGGGCUGGGCUUUUCAUUGACCAUGGGAUGGAAUAGUUCUGUGGGCAUAGUGUGUCUUCGAAGCCACUAUGUUUUCUGCACUUGUGAAUAGAGAGCCCCUUGAUAGCUCAGUUGGUAGAGCCGUGGACUGUAAAAUGCUCCUUGUGUGAAACGCUGUGAUCCUAAGGUCGCUGGUGCAACUACAGCCGGAAGCACCUCCUUGUCAUUGGAAAUACCCGCAAGCCUUGUCUUUAUCCGUCAACUCCUCCAAAAUGUAAAAACACAAACAAGAUAACUCUUUCUUAAAUUUUCAACCAUCAAUUUUUUAUUCACCCAGCCUAAAAGUCCUGAUUAUCAGUUCUGGGUCCCUGGCAAUGACUGUUGGGUACAAACUGCAAAGCUUUGUUCGUCAGGUAGGGCUGGGCUUUUCAUUGACCAUGGGUUGGAAUAGUUCUGUGGGCAUAGUGUGUCUUAGAAGCCACUAUGUUUUCUGCACUUGUGACUAGAGAGCACCUUGAUAGCUCAGUUGGUAGAGCGGUGGACUGUAAGAUGCUCCUUGUGUGAAACGCUGUGAUCCUAAGGUCGCUGGUUCAACUCCAGCCGGAAGCACCUCCUUGUCAUUCGAAAAACCCGCAAGCCUUGUCUUUAUCUGUCAACUCUUCCAAAAUGUAAAAACACAAACAAGAUAACUCUUUCUUAAAUUUUCAACCAUCAAUUUUUUAUUCACCCAGCCUAAAAGUCCUGAUUAUCAGUUCUGGGUCCCUGGCAAUGACUUUUGGGUACAAACUGCAAA
Non-coding RNA from Xyrichtys novacula (pearly razorfish), 21543 nucleotides. The record is from the annotation of a GenBank genome assembly. NCBI's taxonomy places the organism in Eukaryota, Metazoa, Chordata, Actinopteri, Labriformes, Labridae.